This 322-nucleotide unclassified non-coding RNA is filed under the name Agrocybe pediades. Its description in RNAcentral is "partial internal transcribed spacer region". The stretch from base 1 to 46 matches the Rfam family "Eukaryotic small subunit ribosomal RNA", at positions 1786 to 1831 of the family's 1831-position model. The record is from RNAcentral. Lineage: Eukaryota; Fungi; Basidiomycota; Agaricomycetes; Agaricales; Agrocybaceae.
AAGUCGUAACAAGGUUUCCGUAGGUGAACCUGCGGAAGGAUCAUUAUUGAAUAAACCUGGCGUGGUUGUAGCUGGUCCUCUCGGGGACAUGUGCUCGCCCGUCAUCUUUAUAUCUCCACCUGUGCACCCUUUGUAGACCUGGACGAUAACUUUCCGAGGCAACUCGGUCGGGAGGACUGCUGGCUUUCACGAGUCGGCUUUCCUUGUAUAUUAUCCAGGCCUAUGUCUUACACAUACCCCAAAGAAUGUAACAGAAUGUAUUGUAUAUGGCCUAGUGCCUAUAAACUAUAUACAACUUUCAGCAACGGAUCUCUUGGCUCUC